CCUACGGUGUGCAGCAGUGAGGAAUAUUGGUCAAUGGGCGCGAGCCUGAACCAGCCAAGUAGCGUGAAGGAUGAAUGCCCUACGGGUUGUAAACUUCUUUUAUAAAGGAAUAAAGUGAGGCACGUGUGCCAUUUUGUAUGUACUUUAUGAAUAAGGAUCGGCUAAUUCCGUGCCAGCAGCCGCGGUAAUACGGAGGAUCCGAGCGUUAUCCGGAUUUAUUGGGUGUAAAGGGAGAGUAGAUGGGGUGUUAAGUCAGGUGUGAAAGUUUGCGGCUCAACCGUAAAAUUGCAAUGGAUACUGGCAGGCUUGAGUACAGUUGAGGUAGGCGGAAUUCGUGGUGUAGCGGUGAAAUGCGUAGAUAUCACGAAGAACUCCGGUUGCGAAGGCAGCCUGCUAAACUGCAACUGACAUUGAUGCUCGAAAGUGUGGGUAUCAAACAGGAUUAGAUACCCCAGUAGUC
This 460-nucleotide ribosomal RNA is filed under the name uncultured bacterium. Its description in RNAcentral is "partial 16S ribosomal RNA". It matches the Rfam family "Bacterial small subunit ribosomal RNA", at positions 338 to 795 of the family's 1533-position model. The record is from RNAcentral.